This 98-nucleotide non-coding RNA is filed under the name Micromonospora echinaurantiaca. RNAcentral's name for it is "Glycine sequence". It matches the Rfam family "Glycine riboswitch aptamer". Rfam says of the family: This family represents the bacterial glycine riboswitch. Glycine riboswitches usually consist of two metabolite-binding aptamers domains with similar structures in tandem. The record is from Rfam by way of RNAcentral. Lineage: Bacteria; Bacillati; Actinomycetota; Actinomycetes; Micromonosporales; Micromonosporaceae.
ACCACCCACGCGGGAGAGACCGCCCACAGCAGCACGGGCGGCGCCGAAGGGGCAUAUCCUCCCCGGAACCUCUCAGGCAAAAGGACCGCGGGGGCAGG